Molecule: non-coding RNA, 650 nt
Organism: Triticum urartu
Lineage: Eukaryota; Viridiplantae; Streptophyta; Magnoliopsida; Poales; Poaceae
Source: RefSeq, a predicted model, not a curated record
UGUUCAUGCUUGGUUUCUGUAGCAAGUUACUAACCGGUUCUUUCGAUUCUUUGGACAGCUUGAUCUGAACGAGCAGUCAGUUCCAGAGUCAGUAUCUGAACUAAAUAGCUUCGCUCAAAUGGCCCUGGAACUAGAUGUUAAAGAGAUGAGCAUGGCUGAGCUAACCCGCUUCGAGGAAAUUGUUAGAGAAGCAUUGGCAGCUGUUAAGAGCAUCCGUAUUAUGAAGGUGGCUGAGCUCACCCAAACUGAGGCGAGAUUAAGGAGAGAUCCACAGAAGAAAGGGGACAACUGGUCGGGCCAAGAGUCGGGAAAAGAGUGAGGCUGUGAGAACGUUCUGGAAGGGGAGGGUAUAUAUACGUAGGCACAGUCUACAUCUGCAUCCAGACGUUCAGAACCUGCAGCCAAUGUUCAUGCUUGCAAUAGCCGACUCGGUUUAUUGCCUAAGGUUAGAAUGACCUCCUCAGGAAAGAAGAAGCGGGAGCUCUGCUAGUCUGCUAUAUAUCGCCUAAGAACACUGAGCUCAAGUAUCUUGUAUCAAAUUCAAAUAUGCCGUUCUUACGAUACAGCCGGGGCUCUGCUAUUUAUUGCCAUAAGUGCAAUUCAAGAAUUACCAUGUAUUGUUCUAUUGUAUCGAACAUUUGUUUUUGUUC